RNAcentral lists this ribosomal RNA (252 nucleotides) under uncultured bacterium. RNAcentral describes it as "partial 16S ribosomal RNA". It matches the Rfam family "Bacterial small subunit ribosomal RNA", at positions 524 to 775 of the family's 1533-position model. The record is from RNAcentral.
UACGGAGGGUGCAAGCGUUAUCCGGAUUCACUGGGUUUAAAGGGUGCGUAGGCGGGUAGGUAAGUCAGUGGUGAAAUCCUAGAGCUCAACUCUAGAACUGCCAUUGAUACUAUUUAUCUUGAAUAUUGUGGAGGUAAGCGGAAUAUGUCAUGUAGCGGUGAAAUGCUUAGAUAUGACAUAGAACACCUAUUGCGAAGGCAGCUUACUACGCAUAUAUUGACGCUGAGGCACGAAAGCGUGGGGAUCAAACAG